CGAUCGGCGGUCUGGAUUUCUACUAUCAGAUCACGCUCACAAGCGGCGAUCCGGGUGCGGAGGUGAGCUCCGUUACGCUGGGGCUUUUCGACCCGUAUCUGGUCGCGGCCGGGAUCGAUCCGCGCGUCGGGCCCAUCGUCUCCACUGACCCCCUUAAUGGUCGGACAGGAGGCACGCAGACGCCGGUUCUCGUGUCUUACGAUGCGGGCGCAAUCCAGUUCGGCUUUUCCUCGCAGACGCAGCCCGGGGAAACGCUCACCGUCGAUGACCCCCAAAGCGCGUGGAUGGUGCUGCGGACUUCGGCGCGUAGUUAUGCCUUCGACGGCACCGCGGACAUCGUCGGCAGCCUCUCGACCAACGCCGAGAUCCUCGUACCGACCGCCACCGUCCCGCCGCCCACGCCGCUCGUCGUCACUGGCGCGGGCACGGGGUCGCUGGUGCAGGUCUUUGACCCGGCGACUGGCACCCUCCAGAAGAGCUUCAAUGCCUUCGGACCCCGCAACAAAUACGGCGUGCGGGUGGCCACCGGCGAUGUCAAUGGGGACGGCGUGGAGGACAUCAUUGUCGGGUCGGGUCGCGGGAUCGUCGGUGGAGCGCAUGUGCGGGUCUUUGACGGGGCUGAUCCAGCCCAUCCGGCCUUGCCCGGAGUGCUGGGCGAUUUCAGGCCCUUCGGCUCCGGUUUCCUCGGCGCCGUGAAUGUCGCGGUGGGCGAUGUGAAUGGCGAUGGCAAGGCGGACAUCAUCGUCGCCCCGGGUUCCGGCAGCUCGGGCCAGGUGCGCAUUUUCAGCGGAGUGGAUGGCUCGUUGCUCACCAAGUUUACCGCGCUCUCGAAAGUGAACGGCGGAGUGCGGGUGGCGGCGGGCGACCUCGAUGGUGACGGGCUCGACGAAGUGAUCGUCGGCGCGGGGAUCGGUUCGGCCGUGAAGGUCUUCGACGGACUCACUGGAGCGCCGGUGGCUGGGAUGAGUUUCAAGGCCUUCGGCCCCGGAUACAAAGGCGGAGUGACCGUCGCCAGCGGCGAUGUGAAUGGCGACGGCCUCGACGAAAUCCUCGUCGGCACCGCCAGUGGGGCAAAUCUGGUGAGAAUCUUCGAUCACACCCUCCUCAAGCUGGCGGAAUUCCAGACUACCGCCCGCCUCGGCGUGCGCCUCGCCACCGCCGACGUGAAUGGCGACAGCUUCGCCGACAUCGUUGCCGGCAGAGGCGUGGGUGAGAACUCGGCGGUGAGCAUCUUCGAUGGCAUCACUCGCGGAAAGAUCCGGGACCUAACCGGCUACUCGGUGUCGGGCAAAAACGGAGCUUUCGUCGGCUAAACUGGUCGCCGCCAGGGCGGCGAUUUGCUAAAGAUUCCAUCAUCGCGAUAGUGGGUGAUGUUUCGCGCGCCCAAAGGUCAACCACACCUCCCGCAGAAGGCAGUCCGGCUCCAGCAGUCAGGCUACCGUCGCCGGUGGAAACCCGCGCGGCGCGAUUCCCGCUUACCUGAGAUCCCACCGCGCCUCGAGCAGCCAACACCCUCGGGUCCGGCAGCUUAGCGCCAUGUUGUACCUCAACAAACAUCAGCAAUCUCCCAGCAGCGAAACGCAACGCGCCCUCCGCGCUGCCGAUGGCUAUCUCGUCCUCGGCCUGCCGAACGAGGCCCUCGAGGAACUCCAUGCCGUCGCGCCCCAGGAACGCGAACUGCCGGUCGUCAUCCUCGCCCGCAUUCGCGUCCUUCUGCAUCUCCGACGCUGGGCUCCUGCCGAAGCGCUCUCGCGCCACGGAGCCG
This 1765-nucleotide unclassified non-coding RNA is filed under the name uncultured fungus. Its description in RNAcentral is "sequence contains 18S rRNA gene, ITS1, 5.8S rRNA gene, ITS2, 28S rRNA gene". The record is from RNAcentral. Lineage: Eukaryota; Fungi.